GCCCUUUAGGGGUUCCAGAUGCUACCAAGAAACCGAAACAAGAAGGUUUUCUGUGCCCUGGACCCAGGUAGAGGUGACAGAGGGAAAUCUGAAGUACCGGUUCUUGCUGAAAGGAUGAAGAAGCAUCUCCAGUUGCCCUUAAGACAUUUUUGAAAUGUACACAUCUGGGACUAAGGAAUGCAGCUGAGAGAUGAAGCCUUGCCUAGCACAUGCAAAGCCCUGAGUCUGGAUAUCCAGCACUGAAAGGAAAAGGGGUUGAAGAAGAGCCCAGUGAACCAUGUAGGCGAAGGAGGAAAACAAGGGGCAUGGAUUUUUAUAAUAGAAAAGGCCUCUUUCUAGACCUAGAAGUUAUCAUCUGUUUUUACCCAAGUGUGCUGAAACUUGGCUGUCCCAUGGCCUAGAGGGUUUUGACAUAUUUACCUAGAGAGCACUACCCAGCCUCUGGCUGAGGGUAGAACCUGGGGCCUGGAGCAUGCUAAGCAGUGCUCUAUCUCUGAGCUACAUCCCUAGCUCCCUUUCUAUUUUUACACUGGCUCCUGAGAAGUUGUCCAGCCAGGCCUUGAACUCAUCCUGUAGCCCAAAUAGGUUUCGACCCUGUGGUCUUUCUGCCUCAUUUUCCACAGUGGCUAUGGAUUGAUCAGGCCUGGUUCUUAGCACUUUCUGUCUCAGUGCUGGGAAUCUGAAGAUGAAAAUAAGCCAGAAUGGGUCCAGCCCAGAAUGGAACCGCUUCCAUUUUCUCCUAGGUGUCCUAGUUUCCUGAUGCAGUUAGCCCCCAAAGCCUUAAGAGGCAGCAGUGCUUGUUCAAGACUCCCUGCAGCAGCAUGCCUGACUCCGAGGCAAUCUGUUUCUUCUCUUGAGCUCUGGCUUCUCACCUGUCAAAUGUCCAUCUUAAAUCACACUCUUCCUGCAGAGCCUCCUUGUAAGAUCCCUUCUGUGAUGCAGGGCUGUAAAAGAGGCCAGUCCUGACCCCGAUCUCUUGCAGCACUGAACCCUUCCAGGAGCAAGAGGAAAGCCAAGCCUAAUGCUACAUACACCCUGUCCACACUCUUUGUCUGGUCCUUGGAAGGUUUCCUCUGGGUGACCAGCCUAGCACCUCUGUGUUGGAGUGACAAUCUAAGCAGUAACUGUCUCUCAGCCCUGGAGUCAGAGCAAGACAAUAGCAUAGUUGGGUCCUUCCUUCUGGGCUCUCCUAGGGAGAUGAUUUCCCCUCCCGGAUUCCUGGUGUGUGUGUGUGUGUGUGUGUGUGUGUGUGUGUGUGUGUGUUGGGGAAUGACUAUGAAGACUCAAAGCUGUUAGAGAUUUAUUUGGUGCCUUUACUUUUUUUGUUGUUGUUUUGGCCAAUUUGGAAAGAAAGAGGCAAUGACUCCUCUUUAUAAAACAAAACUAGGCAGGAAGUGUGCAGGGCCUGAGUGGCAGGGACUAAGGGUGUAAUUACAAGUUUUGUUCAGCAUUUUCAUGUAAUUAAGUCCAAAGGAAAUCGAGCUGCCUGUAUGUUGGGGCUGGAAGGCAAUCGGUGAGGAAUGGAUCUGCUUUUCAGCGAAGAGGCGGACUUCUCACCUUUCUUCUUAUUUUUAUAUUCGUUUUCCAAAAGGUAGCCUAUCAUUCAUCUUUUAUUCGGUGCCAUUGCGCUCUCCUUGGUGACAUUUCCCAGCCGUGCAAAGCCUUCUAGACACUGAUUUGCCUUUCCGCCCACUCUCUCCCCCUUCCCACUUUUACAUAUUGCCGAUUUCUGCCUGGUUGCUCACACAGUAUUCCCGCUGCAACAUUCAUAGCCAGCUUUCUUGCCUCCGGAGUUUCGAUCUCAGCGACUUCCGACUCCGCCAAGCCAAAUAGUCUCUCCUUUUGUUUUGGCCAGAGUCUGGUUUUCCCCGUUAUGCUUUAUAGUAAGUUCUACAGCGGCUGCCCCACCUCGGCUUUCUUUAACACUGCCUUGGUUUCCCUUUAUCGCAAGUAGAUUCUGCGCACACUCGCUGGGGGAUGGGGUCGUAGCGCCUAGAGCACGGCUUUGCAGAUGGUCCUAAACGGUGGGGCGCACGGGUUUCGUUCUCCUCCCCUCCUUUGAGCCUUCGGUGGCCCAGAGACGUGCCCUGGGCAUUGGGGACUGGCAGCAAGAAAGGAACCACUGUCUACUUACAUUCUUAAGGGCAGGAAACCUGACCCACCCCUAAACCACUGGUCCCGGAGGAGGGGCACUUGCAUUCCUCCAGGAGGGUGGGCCUCGCGUUGGUCCCCCCUCCUCUCACUCCUACCCCCACCUCCGUGCCCGCAGAUUACCUCCCUCAGCCCCCUUCACCUACUCUUCCCAAGAACAGAUUGUUUAUCAGGACGGGCAGCCAAGAAGCCUACUCCUGUUUCUGGCCUCUGCCAAAGAUUAAUCACACUUGGGAACCUCACCAAACUUGACUGUUAGGGCGGGGCAGGGAGAGGGGGAGUAGUUAAAAAGGAAAGACCAAUGAAUUUGACAUUUGACAAGCUGACCAAAUGGGGCUACUGACGCCUCUUUCCUUCUCAACCUAAAGGACCGAAUUGUGUUUCAUUCCCACUCCGCUACCCCACCCCCUCUCUUUCUCUGAGUCCCCCUCUUUCAACUUCGGAUUUGAUGCUUUCAUAGUACUGACUUGCUUUUAAUUCUUAGUAACAUUUUCAGCUGGUGUGUGUGUGUGUGUGUGUGUGUGUGUGUGUGUGUGUGUGUGUGUGUGUUGGGGCCUGGCAAGACACACUCACAAACUGGACUGCCUGACAAAUCCCUUCUUUCCCUUCUUUUCAUCCCUCUCUUUGAAAUGACAUCAAGAUGGACUGGGGAGGGGUGAUGGGGGGGCGAUAAAGGAGAA
This 2831-nucleotide long non-coding RNA is filed under the name Cricetulus griseus (Chinese hamster). RNAcentral describes it as "lncRNA (ENSCGRG00015030161.1)". The record is from RNAcentral. Lineage: Eukaryota; Metazoa; Chordata; Mammalia; Rodentia; Cricetidae.